RNA transcript from Medicago truncatula (barrel medic), 1294 nucleotides. It is a transcript of the gene named methyl-CpG-binding domain-containing protein 4, with no coding region annotated. The record is from RefSeq and is a predicted model, not a curated record. NCBI's taxonomy places the organism in Eukaryota, Viridiplantae, Streptophyta, Magnoliopsida, Fabales, Fabaceae. The transcript has 4 exons.
UCAGUUUCUCUCUCUUUUCAUAUUCACACGCCUCUCUCAUUCUCUCUCUCACUUAUGGAUCUUUUUCACCAUUUCUUCCAUUCAUUCUUCUUUCAUUUCUGUCACCUUCUUCCAUUUUUCUUCCAAAAUCAUCAACUCCAUGUUCCCUCUAAUUCCUAUCCACAACUCAAACCUCAUAUCUAUACCAGACGAAGAAGAAGAUUUGCGGAAGACAGAGACAGAGAAGAUCAUUACGGCAGUAACUUUUUUAAUCAACUCUCUAUCUCAAAAAUCACAAUUGUAUUAAGAUUCCUCAAAUCAUAAAUUUGACCAUCAAUAGAGGUUCAUUUUCUAAUGGAAAGUUAUCAACUUCUUUCUUAUGGUGUACCUUAAGUUUGGGGGAAGAUUGCCAAUGGAGUGUUCUUAUGUUGUGGUUGUUGGACGUGUCUGCUGUCCAUCUGCUAUCUUUUUUUUUUUUUGCUGUUGUCUGGCCCCUGUUUUGCAUAGAUUGCAGUGGUUGCUGCUACAUUUUUGUUCCUUCCUGGUGUGGCAUCGGUUUGGUUUUUCGUGUAUUCCCCUUCCCUGUGCUGUGUAGUCUGAUGGUGUGGAGCUAUGGGAAUGAAAUAUGGUGCCUUUAACUAGAUUUCAACGUCAUAACUUUGCCUUUAGGUUGGGUAUUUGUUCUUGGUCGGGGUUUUGGGCGUUUUUGCUUUUGGGUAUUCAUCAUGAUUAAACAAGUAGGUUUUGAUAGUCAUUCUUUAACUUUUCAGCCAUGCCAAUUACAAAUAGAAAAGCAAAAGUGCUAACUUUAUAAGGACUUGAUUUGUUAUAAUUAUACUAGAAUGGUAGUGUCAUAUAAUUCUAUAGUUGCCCGAGUUUCAGAACAAUGGUUAUUAAUUUUCUCAAUGACCACUUUCUUUUUGUGUUAAGACAUUUGUGUUGUAUUGCGUAUGUGGAUCGAAUUCAUAGCAGGAAAUCAAGUGAGACCUGAUCACUAGAUAGCUUGGAGGAUUAUGCAAUGAUUGUUCUAUUAAUAUGUUUCUUCUCCUCACAUCUUGCUUCUAUGUAGUGAAUUUUCUUUCUUUCUGUUUUCCCUUCGAUUUGGCAUGGAAAUGAUAUGAAGGUAUCUUACUUUUUGACAUAGUGGAAGAAUGAAGUGUGUAUCAAAGUUUCUUCCCCAGUAGACCAGUGAUAUCCCAGAAUGAUAUAUAUGUGGCACAAUGCAAACUUUGCAUGAAAUUUAGAGAGAUUGAUACGCAGGAGGAGUUUGAGGAGAUCCUUCAUAAAAUCAAACAAGAGCCUUUUGAUUGUAGCA